UUUCCGGUUGAUCCCGCCGGACCUGACUGCUAUCGGAUUGAUACUAAGCCAUGCGAGUCAUUGUAGCAAUACAAGGCAGACGGCUCAGUAACGCGUAGUCAACCUAACCUAUGGACGGGAAUAACCUCGGGAAACUGAGAAUAAUGCCCGAUAGAACACUAUAUCUGGAAUGGUUUGUGUUCCAAAUGAUUUAUCGCCGUAGGAUGGGACUGCGGCCUAUCAGUUUGUUGGUGAGGUAAUGGCCCACCAAGACUAUUACAGGUACGGGCUCUGAGAGGAGUAGCCCGGAGAUGGGUACUGAGACACGGACCCAGGCCCUAUGGGGCGCAGCAGGCGAGAAAACUUUGCAAUGUGCGAAAGCACGACAAGGUUAAUCCGAGUGGUUUCUGCUAAGGAACCUUUUGUCGGUCCUAGAAACACCGAUGAAUAAGGGGUGGGCAAGUUCUGGUGUCAGCCGCCGCGGUAAAACCAGCACCUCAAGUGGUCAGGAUGAUUAUUGGGCCUAAAGCAUCCGUAGCCUGCUUUGUUAGUUUUCGGUUAAAUCUAUACGCUCAACGUAUAGGCUGCCGGGAAUACUGCAAAGCUAGGGAGUGGGAGAGGUAGACGGUACUCGGUAGGAAGGGGUAAAAUCCUUUGAUCUAUUGAUGACCACCUGUGGCGAAGGCGGUCUACCAGAACACGUCCGACGGUGAGGGAUGAAAGCUGGAGGAGCAAACCGGAUUAGAUACCCGGGUAGUCCCAGCCGUAAACCAUGCAAACUCAGUGAUGCAUUGGCUUGUGGCCAAUGCAGUGCUGCAGGGAAGCCGUUAAGUUUGCCGCCUGGGAAGUACGUACGCAAGUAUGAAACUUAAAGGAAUUGGCGGGGGAGCACCACAAGGGGUGAAGCCUGCGGUUCAAUUGGAUUCAACGCCGGGA
RNAcentral lists this ribosomal RNA (915 nucleotides) under uncultured archaeon. Its description in RNAcentral is "bacterial SSU rRNA". It matches the Rfam family "Archaeal small subunit ribosomal RNA", at positions 1 to 923 of the family's 1478-position model. The record is from RNAcentral.